This 478-nucleotide ribosomal RNA is filed under the name uncultured bacterium. RNAcentral describes it as "partial 16S ribosomal RNA". It matches the Rfam family "Bacterial small subunit ribosomal RNA", at positions 28 to 523 of the family's 1533-position model. The record is from RNAcentral.
GACGAACGCUGGCGGCGUGCUUAACACAUGCAAGUCGAACGGUAAGGCCCUUCGGGGUACACGAGUGGCGAACGGGUGAGUAACACGUGGGUGAUCUGCCCUGCACUUCGGGAUAAGCCUGGGAAACUGGGUCUAAUACCGGAUAGGACCACUGCCUGCAUGGGUGGUGGUGGAAAGCUUUUGCGGUGUGGGAUGGGCCCGCGGCCUAUCAGCUUGUUGGUGGGGUGAUGGCCUAGCAAGGCGACGACGAGUAGCCGGGCUGAGAGGGUGAACGGCCAGACUGGGACGGGAGUACGGCCCAGACUCCUACGGGAGGCAGCAGUGGGGAAUAUUGCACAAUGGGCGCAGGCCUGAUGCAGCGGCUCCGCGUGAGGGAUGACGGCCUUCGGGUUGUAAACGUCUUUCAGCACCGACGAAGCGCAAGUGACGGUAGGUGCAGAAGAAGGACCGGCCAACUACGUGCCAGCGGCCGCGGUAA